RNAcentral lists this transfer RNA (74 nucleotides) under Candidatus Gottesmanbacteria bacterium CG11_big_fil_rev_8_21_14_0_20_37_11. RNAcentral describes it as "tRNA-Ala". It matches the Rfam family "tRNA". From Rfam's summary of the family: Transfer RNA (tRNA) molecules are approximately 80 nucleotides in length. Their secondary structure includes four short double-helical elements and three loops (D, anti-codon, and T loops). The record is from RNAcentral. Lineage: Bacteria; Candidatus Gottesmaniibacteriota.
GGGCCCGUAGUACACCGGUAGUAUGCCUCCAUGGCAUGGAGAAGAAAGGGGUUCGAUUCCCCUCGGGUCCACCA